This 700-nucleotide ribosomal RNA is filed under the name uncultured bacterium. Its description in RNAcentral is "bacterial SSU rRNA". It matches the Rfam family "Bacterial small subunit ribosomal RNA", at positions 8 to 708 of the family's 1533-position model. The record is from RNAcentral.
AGAGUUUGAUCAUGGCUCAGGAUGAACGCUGGCGGCGUGCCUAACACAUGCAAGUCGAGCGUGAAGGUAAGUAUGGAUUCUUCGGAAGAAGUACUAACUGGAAAGCGGCGGACGGGUGAGUAACGCGUGGGCAACCUGCCCCAUACAAAGGGAUAGCCACUGGAAACGGUGAUUAAUACCUUAUAAAACAUAGUAGUCGCAUGGCUACAGUGUCAAAGAUUUAUCGGUAUGGGAUGGGCCCGCGUCUGAUUAGCUAGUUGGUGAGGUAAUGGCUCACCAAGGCGACGAUCAGUAGCCGACCUGAGAGGGUGAUCGGCCACACUGGAACUGAGACACGGUCCAGACUCCUACGGGAGGCAGCAGUGGGGAAUAUUGCACAAUGGGGGAAACCCUGAUGCAGCAACGCCGCGUGAGCGAAGAAGGCUUUCGAGUCGUAAAGCUCUGUCCUAAAGGAAGAAUAGAUGACGGUACUUUAGGAGGAAGCCCCGGCUAACUACGUGCCAGCAGCCGCGGUAAUACGUAAGGGGCUAGCGUUAUCCGGAAUUACUGGGCGUAAAGGGUACGUAGGCGGUUUAUUAAGUCAGGGGUGAAAGGCUACGGCUCAACCGUAGUAAGCCUUUGAAACUGAUAAACUUGAGUAUGGUAGAGGAAAGUGGAAUUCCUGGUGUAGCGGUGAAAUGCGUAGAUAUUAGGAGGAACA